AGUUGGUAGGGUAAAAGCCUACCAAGGCGACGAUCAGUAGCUGGUUUGAGAGAAUGAUCAGCCACACUGGGACUGAGACACGGCCCAGACUCCUACGGGAGGCAGCAGUGGGGAAUAUUGGACAAUGGGCGCAAGCCUGAUCCAGCAAUGCCGCGUGUGUGAAGAAGGCCUGAGGGUUGUAAAGCACUUUCAAUUGUGAAGAAAAGUUUAAGGUUAAUAGCCUUAGACCCUGACGUUAACUUUAGAAGAAAGACCGGCUAACUCCGUGCCAGCAGCCGCGGUAAUACGGAGGGUCCGAGCGUUAAUCGGAAUUACUGGGCGUAAAGCGUACGUAGGUGGCUAGAUUAGUCGGAUGUGAAAGCCNUGGGCUCAACCUGGGAACUGCAUUCGAUACUGUCUGGCUANAGUAUAGUAAAGGGAAGUGNAAUUCCCGGUGUAGCGGUGAAAUGCGUAAAUUCCGGAGGAACNCCAGUGGCGAAGCGGCUUCCUGGACUAA
Molecule: ribosomal RNA, 496 nt
Filed under: uncultured bacterium
Lineage: Bacteria
Description: bacterial SSU rRNA
Rfam family: Bacterial small subunit ribosomal RNA
Source: RNAcentral